Molecule: non-coding RNA, 74 nt
Organism: Myotis brandtii (Brandt's bat)
Lineage: Eukaryota; Metazoa; Chordata; Mammalia; Chiroptera; Vespertilionidae
Source: Rfam
GGUGGUUUUCGGGUGAUGCACCCCAGAAUUGGGCUCCCUCCUCUCUCGUUCUGGGUGCAUCACCAGGAACCGCA